This 111-nucleotide small nuclear RNA is filed under the name Catagonus wagneri (Chacoan peccary). RNAcentral describes it as "U2 spliceosomal RNA (ENSCWAG00000009459.1)". It matches the Rfam family "U2 spliceosomal RNA". Rfam says of the family: U2 is a small nuclear RNA (snRNA) component of the spliceosome (involved in pre-mRNA splicing). Lineage: Eukaryota; Metazoa; Chordata; Mammalia; Artiodactyla; Tayassuidae. The record is from Rfam by way of RNAcentral.
AUUGCUUCUCUGCCUUUUGGCUAAGAUCAAGUAUAGUGUCUGUUCUUAUCAAUUUAAUAUCUGAUACAUCCUCUAUGCAAUUUAAUGUAUAUUAAAUACAGUAGACACCAA